GUUGGGGCCAAUUUUGUUCAAUAGCUUCAUUAGUGAUCUGGAAGAUGGGAUGGAGUGCACCCUCAGCAGGUUCACGGAUGACGCCAAGCUGGGGGGAGUAGUAGAUAGGGUAGGGCUAGGAUUGAGAGUGACCUAGACGAAUCAGAGGAUUGGAUCAAAAAGACUCUCAUGCAGUUCAGUAAGGACAAGUGCAAAGUCCUGCACUGAGGUCAGAACAGUCCCAGGCACCCGCACUGGCUGGGCAGCAGCUUUGCAGAAAAGGACGGGGGGAUUACCGUAUCAAAUACCAUUGAUUUUAGUGUAAGAGGAACUGUUGAUGCAGAUUAAAACAUGCUGACUGAUUUGCCUUUUCACACCUUAUUGGUAACAGUUAUGCUGUUAGUGAGACCCAGCACUUAGCCACUGGUGGGCUGUUCGCACCUCGUUAAUGGUCAUUACUUUGUUACUUGGAAUGCCUUACCUCUGAUAGCAACCUGAAAAUUAACAGGACCUGUUCAACAUCGAUAGUGGUAAAUUAACCAACUACCCUGCCUGUCCAACAAUUUUUUGAUUGCCAGAUGAGUCUGUUGUAUACAUCUUUGACUUUAUUCUCUUUCCAUGGGUAAUGGUAUUAAAACAUGUAGAAACAUCUUCAUUGGAUGGUUUGAACCAGAGUGGGGAGGUAAGAACGUUAACAUUUGCAAGCUCUUUAAUGAAAAGGAAACAAAACCAAAACGCAGUGUUCGUUUUUGUUUUUAGGUUACAUCAAGUUCAUUGUAGUAACAGGGCGUCUUAGUUAGAAAAUGAUCUAAAGCUCCUUCAGGAAGCUGGUUUCAUAUGGUGGUUUAGAUUUAACUACUUAUUGUCUAGCACCAUUUGAAAUCAGUGUUCUUGGAGGAAGAAUGGCUGCCCUUUUGUCUGAGGAACCUUGACGGUACGAGACGAAGAAAUCAGGACCUCUCUACAUGCUCGUAGUAGGUUUGUCCAGCCAGGCCUGUAUUUAAGACUUUAUGGUUUAGCUGAACCAUAUGAGGAUGUUCCAAUUUGUUGUUGGACACGCAGAUUUCCACUGUUCAUCAUACCAAGCAACAGUGUAUUUGUAACAUUUGUAGACUCUGAACUUGGUGGUAAGAUAAUGAAGCACCACGUGGAAUUACAGCAUAACUUUUUAGACCUAAUUUGUCACUGUUGUUCCAACUGUUAUAUUAUCAAUUGAAUUAACCUAUUUUAUCCUGGACUGUUAGCUCUCCAGGAUGACUCUCUCAUUUGUUUUAUGUUCUUUACAGGUCUAAGUGCGUUGUUGUUACUGUUUACUUUACUAGUUCUUACUCUGUCCUUGUAAAACAAUUUGUAUCUUAUCUAUUAAAAUGGAUGAAAGUAUUAUGUACCUAUAAGAUUCAAAACAUGAUAGUGUUUAAAAUACCUGAGUGAGAUUUUGUGAGAUCAUCGGACCCUAUAGAAGUAAGCUAGAAGGACCCCAUUAGGUCAUCAAAUCCAGCCCCCUUCUUGGCAGGAUCACCCUUAACUAAAACACCCCAGUCAAGUGCCUGUCUAACCUGCUCUUGAACAUUUCCGGGGUGGAGAGUCCACAACUUCUCUAGAAAGCCAGUUCCAGUGCCUGAGUACUCUCAUCAUCAGAAAAUUCUGCCUAAUAUCCAUCUUAAGUCCCCCCUGCUGCAAUUUAAGGCCAAUGCUCCCAGUCCUGUCUCCUAUAGUCACAGAGAAAGUCUAUCUCCAUCCUGUGUAUAAUUGCCUUUCAGUUAUUUGAAGCCUGUUAUUAAAUCCUUCCCCACCCCAGUCUUUUUUUCUCCAGACCAAAUAAUCCAAGUUCUGUUAGCCUCUCUUCAUAAAUGAUGUUUAGCAGGCCUCUAAUCAUUUUUGUCCCUCUCUGCUGGACUCUUUCCAAUCUGUACAUAUCUUGCUUGAAGUGUAGGCCAAAACUGAACACAGUACUCCUGGUGAGGCCUCACCAGUACCAGAUAGAGCAAAAUAAUCACUUUCCUUGAUUUGUAAGAGACAUCUCUGUUAAUACAACCCAGUAUGCUGUAGGCUUUUUUUUUUGCAACAAGAGACAUUGUUGGCUCACACUCAGCAUAUGGUUCACUGUAACUAGCCAGUUGUUCUGCAGUCUGUAUUUAUGCAUGCCAUUAUGCCAUCCCAAGUGCAGUAUUUUGCACUUGUCCUUGUUGAGUCAUUCCUCAUUGAUUUUUGGACUGCUUUUUCAUUCUCUCCAGGUCAUGCUAGAUCCUAGCCCUAUCUUCCAGGGUGUCUGAAACUCCAUCCAUUUUGGUGUCACCUGUAAAUUUGCUAAGCAUGUACUCAAUCCCCUUGUCCAAAUCAUUAAUGAAGAUUUUAAACAAUGUAGGACCCAAGACAGACUCUGGGGGAACCCCAUUUGAUACUUCUUCCCCAUUUGACAUUGAGCCAGCGAUGACUACUCAUUGAGCAUGAUGAUCCAACCACUUAUGUAAUCACUUGCAGUACUUUACUCUAAUUUGUAUUUCCUUAUUGAGGAGAACGCUGUGGGAGACUGUCAAAUGUCUUGCCAAAGUCUAGGUAUAUCUUAUCCACUGCUCUCUCCCAAACAUGGAGCCUGUCACCUUAUUGUAGAAAGAUAUCAGAUUGGUCAGGCCCAUGACUUGCUCUUGGUGAACCCACCUGGGUGUUCCUGAUCACCUUGUUCUCCUCUAGGUGCUUCACAAUAGAUUCUUUGCAGAUCAGCUCCAUGAUAUUUCUAGGUAUCAAGGUCAGGCAGAUAGCUCUAUAACUCUUUGUUUCCUCUUCUUUCCCUUUCUUAAACAUGGACAUUUAUACUUGCCCAUUUCCAGUCAUCCGGAACCUUACCUGAACUCUUCAGUUUAUCAAAGGGGAUGGCCACUGUCUGAAAUUAUCUCAGCUAGUUCCUUCAGUACUCUAUGCUGUAUUCCAUGCAACCCUGCAGACUUGAGAAUAUCUAUCUUCUCAGAGUAAUACCUAACCCCUUCUUCUACUACUGGAUAGUUUGUCCCCCUCCUUGUCUUAGCUGCCAACAGCGCUCAUGUUCUAAUGCAGGGAUGUACAGCUUCUAAGUAGCUGGGGGCUGAUCACCCUGUGGACCACACCGUCACGGGGUGCAUGCUUGCAGGCCGUAAGUAAGCCAUGCCUCCCCCACCCCUGGGCCACACAUCACAUGGACACUCCCUCAUUUGCUGCAUUGUGUAUCCAUGCACCCCUCCCACUGCUGCACUGUGCACCUAUGCAGCCUUUCCCUCCCCCUCCUUUUCCCCUGUCCUCCAUCCCCACCCCCACCCCGCUUGUCCUCAGCUCCCCCUGCCACACUGCCCUAUACCCCAGGGGUGGGAGCAGGCAGCAAAAGCUAGAGAAGGGAGGGGGGAGCUCAGGGAGUCCAACUGCCCUUGCAGCUGCAACAGUGUGGGAGGCAGCAACUGGGCAGGGGGCUGCAAAUUAACCCCCUAGCUGAAAACCAAUGAUCUAGUUGACAUUACUUAUGAAGACUGAAGUAAAAAAGGCAUUAAAUCGGUCUUCUCUGCAUCAUCCAUAACUAGGUUGCCUUCUGCAGAGGACCUACACAUUCCUUUGUCUUCCUUUUACUUCUCAUACAUUAGAAGAAUCCCUCUUUAUUCCCUUUUAUGUCCCUUGCCAGUUGCAUCUCAAGUUGUGCCUCAAGAUCCUUAGAUGUAAAGUACUGUAUUCUAUUUUAUUGUAUUACACAAUGUAGGUUGUUCUUUCCUACAGGUCUCAGUAACCCCUUUAGAGGAUGACUGAUUUCUUUUGGUGUUCAGAGUCCAUACUAUUUUCUAGCACCAUUUGAAAUCGGUUAUAGUGAUUGGGGAAUUGCACCGUGUGAAUUUUUGAUAAUGCAGAUCUCAAAAGGAGAACCUUGAACUGUUACCGACAAAUGAAUUGUUAGGCGAACUGCAUUGCUGGUUCAAAAGUUGCUGAUAUACUCAGCACAUGUGUGGGAUCUGCAACACCAUACAUCGACAUCAUAUCUACUAUGCUCAUCUAAACAGAGGUAAGAGAAUCCCAAAUAUUCACAAUCCAGGUUAACAUAAUCUGUGGAAUUUGAUGAAUCAUUUUGUUACGUCACCAGGUUUUGAUUUAGGUCUUCUAUAUUAAAUGUGUGCCCCAAAUUUAAUGGAAAGCAGCACUAUGUUGGAGAGAGGGUAUAAAGAGUGAUUGUUUUUCCCCAGAUGGAGUGAGCUUAAGACUGCGAGAAUCAAAAUUUUCAUGAUGAUUUUCAAAAUUUUCUGAACUAAUAUUACUGUAUUUUGAGAGGCAUGAAUUUUUUUUUUGGUGAUACCUGUUAUUGGACCAUCUACAUGGCCAGGAUAAAGUUAGAUCAGUUUUCCAGCAUUUGCUCCCAAGUUUCUCGUAUUGUUGUCUGUACGGAUCUUCUGCAGAACACUGGUGAAGUGGGGGAAAAAAACAGAGAAAAUAUUUAAUGGUAAGGCUAGAAAAUAAGGAGGACUUAGAGUGAGAGAGAGAGACCCCUGAAACUACUUUUCUCUUUUUUAAAUUUUUACAUUUUUUUAAUGUAUCCUAAAUUGUUGUCUUUUUAAGAGUGAACCCUGUAAAAAAAAACAUAACCACAGCCAUCAAGAUGCUAUAUUUUUAGAUGAGAAAUAGAUUUAAUGACAUUCUCUAAAUGCGCUUAUCAGAUACUGCAACUCAGCCAUCUCUGCACAUCUGUCCUAUUCAACUUUUGAUACCUUGCAGCAGUUGUGUAACGUUUAAGGGAAAAAAAACCAUGAAAAACACCCCUUGGUCUACAGCAUUCCUUCAACUGCAAAUCUUCUAGGAACUCUAAUAAUCAAAGAAAUGCUUAUGCUGUGCCAAGCAUACCAUGGGAGCUUAACAGGUUUUUAAUAAUGAAAUAACACAAAGAGUACCUGACAAAAAGCUGAAAAAUAGAAAGCUCUUGUUAGGCAAGUUUUUGGGGGGGGGGUUUAAACAAAAAUUACCAAAAUAAUGUUCAUAAUUCCCUGUUUUAAUGUGGUUUUCUAAAAGCCCAAUGUAGUGCACAUUGUCUUGGGAGUUCAGUUCUUGGGUUGGAAUGGAACAGGUAAAGAAAACAGUUGCAUCAUUUUAGAGAAGAAACUAGGUUGUGGGUGGAUCCCCUAAUGGCAGAAAUACCAGAGAUGCCAUACAAUCCAUUAGGGACUCUGCUUUUGCUAUUGAGGUUAUUUAUAAGGUGUUUAGAAACAAUGGUAACUAGUAUAAAACUCAACAUUAGACUACUGGAUAAAUGAAAGAUAGCUGUAACACAGGUAGCCUAGCCAACUUGUGAUUAUUUGUCAAAGGUUCAUAGGGCAGUCUUUUCUCCAAUAAAAUCAGGAACUGGUUAUUUUUAAUUCUUGUCUUUGCCUUUCCUGUCUCAGGAAAAAAGUUGGGGGAGGAUUCCUGCAUAACCUUCACCACCCCUUUAUCAUAGGAAACACACUUUUGGCUGAUGCUUCCCAAUACCUGCUGAAGCUACUGGGUCUGAACCAGCCAUGGGCAGUCUUCCAAACUGUCUCGGACUUCCAUGGCUUUUAGCAUCAUUCUCCAGGCUUUCCUAUUCAACUGCCAGCUAAAUUUAAAGAAUUUCCAUUGUGUUCUGAGUGUGAGUCCUAAUAAUACAAACCUCUCUUUCUAAUGAAGCAGAAUGAAACUCCACUCUUCUUAUUUCAGUGCAAAUUCAUUGGGCAAUGUCAUUGUGUAAAUCACAACACAAUUGCCGUAAGAGAGUGAGAUUGUUCUGUGGAAAGUUGUUUUGGACAUAAGGUUUCACCCACAUGUGAUUUAGCCAAGUUAUCCUGGAAAUUUGAAGAGCCUGUGCAAGUUACCUUGAAAUUUUGAAGGAAGAUUGUAAAACAGUCCUCUGAAAAGUCGCUGGCAGUACUAUGGGAUGGCUACCCAUCAUCUCAGCAGGAUGUUUUCCAGUCAUCAUGGUUUCAUUCUGAUGCUUUUAUUCACAGCUCAGGAUAUUGUUGCCCAUCUCUUGUAUUUAUAUAUGUAAACAGGCUGGGGAAAACAUUUUCAACCAGGGUUUGCUUUGUGCCAGGCCAAAGUGCAAGGCUCUUGUGCUUUGUGGUGUCAAGUCCACGCAGGAUCUACGUUCUAUAGCAGAGGUAUCAAACGUAUGGCCAUGGGCAUGUUGUCUGACCAGGGGGGGCUCCCAGUUGGGUUGGGAAAUUCAGUGGCAGGGAGAGCUGGGGUGGGGCCUACUGCCAAAACCCAUAGUCUGGAACCCCACGGGGGGCACAUUUUAACAGCAAGGGUGAAAAAUAGGGGUGCACUGAUAGAGAUUUUUACAGCUGAUAUUGAUGGGUGAUUUUUAUUGAGCUAUAUCAGCCGAUACCGAUCCGAAUGCCAAUAUGCAGCCUGGCAGCAUGGAAAGCAGCCUCCGGCUGGUACAUCUGUUGUGAGAGAAGGGGCCGGGGGAGGGGAGGGGGGCAGAUCAAGGCCCCCGCGGUGAGGGAGGGAGUGGGGCAGGCACCCCUUCCCUCCCCCCGCCCCUUCCCCCGCAGCAGACUGACCAGCCGGACCCGACUGCUCUCCAUGCUGCCAGGCUGGGCGCCUGCAUACUGCGCUGUGGCUGCGCACAUGAACAGGGCAUUUAUCUGCACGUUACCGGCCACAUCAACCAAAAACAGCCAGUUGCCGAUACCCGUCAGUUUUCCUUAUAUCGGUGCUGAUCCGAUAUGGGACCAAUGUAUUGGUGCACCUCUAGUGAAAAACAGCUGCAUUAACCCCUUCAGCAAUCGUCUCCAGUUGUGCUACUGCAUCCAAAUACAGCCUGUGAAGAUACAGCCGUGAUGCCACAGCCUGGAUCUGGCCAAAGGAAGCAGAUGAGUUUGACAUCCCUGCUCUGCAUCAAUCAGAUGGUCUUUGAGGGUCUGUGAUUGAGCAGAAAUUAUCGCCAAGCUAUUGAUUUGAAUAAGUCACCCAGCAAGUUAGAGAACUGAGAAAAGAAAUCAGGAGGUUUGAGAUUCUUUCCCUUAAAACACAUUUUCAUUUAUUAACGUGGACAUUUUAAGAAUCCCUUUCAGAUUUACGUCACGUCCGUGUUACUUCCAGAUUCCUUGACCACCUCGGGCUAGUCACUUCCGCAGUCCUGUCUGGUCAUUUUUGAUUUGGUCCUCCUGUCUUAGCACAAAGCUGAGGUAUUUGGGUUUCAAACAAAAAUACCAGCCCAGACCUGUUCUAAUUAAAAAAAAAAAAAAAAAAGCCAUGAUGGUGUUUCUGUUGAUAUUAAAUCCAGCAACACUUUUCUUCCCAAACAGCAGGUUUGGGUCCAACUGUCCUUUUAGCCCUCGAAUCUUUGGUUCCCUCUGGAACUGGCUCCUGCAUAGGAUUUUGCUUGGGAGGGUGACACAGUGUGACAGGAUGUAGACACAAAUCCUUCAGCUACUAAAAGUUUAGAGCGAGUGCGGCCUCAUGUCUGCAAUGAACCCCAAUUGGUUUCUCCUCCUCCUCUCCCUUGCAAAAACCCUUCCUCAGCCAACCCACCAGAUGUGAGCCACCUCCCUCAGCCCAGAAAGCAACAUGAGCCAUGCAUCCCCCUUCAACAGCAAAGGCUGUGGGUGGAGAAAAGCUGGCUGAGAGCCCAGAAGCAGCUGGCAGACGAGUAUAGAUCUGCCAGCCACUUAAGGUGAAAUCAUGGGGUCGGGAAGUUAAUGUGGGAGAGAUGAGGAAGAUUUACAAGGAAGAAGAGUUCAGGGAUGGGUCCUACACAGAGAAGGACCCCUCUGCGUUGGAGGGGUCAAGGAGAACAUUAUCUUCACGUGACCAGACAUGGCAGCCGUGCCAAAGGGCAGGUUCUGGAGCAGAACGAAUUUCUUUGCCAUGGUAAGAAAGUUUUGGUAUUUUUAAUAAAUAUAUAUAUAUAACCCGAUUGAUGGAAAUAUAUCACAAUUGAUUCGAAUAAAAGUAUAACCAACACAAAACGAACUGCUAACCUUCCAGUACAAGGCUGACCACCAACCAGUGGCUAUCUAGCCGGCGUUGAGGGCAAGCUCUUCCAAGGAUGAGGGAUAGAAAAGAAGUGACCUGACACUGUCUGAGUAGAGGCAUUUGACAUCAUAAAUCUGGGCUAAGAAGGGAAGAUUUCAAAAUAAUACGUUUGCAAGGAGAUCAAGGGGGGAGCUAAGAAAAGACAGCCCUGGCUUCUCGUUUGUCAGCGUAAAUGGAGAGAGCCCAUGAUUACUUUCUGAUGGGCCUAAGAAGGCAGGCAAUCAACAUCCAGCCAUUGGGAAAGAAGAGGCAUUUGUGGAGUACCAUAUUAGGAUGCUCUCUGUUAGGCAUCUUCUAUUACAUGAAUACUGCGGGCUGCAUACUACAGGUCACAGCAGGACUGGAGAAAUGUAUGGUCCAAUAAUACCUAGGGACCCAUCCAGCAAACAGUUCUUAUCAAGUGUCCUGAUGGGUGUUGUUUCUAUCACUUGGGCUCUAGAGGCCUCAUGUAGGUCAAGAACUUUCUGUGUUGGACCCUGUACAACAUACAUAUAGAAACAACAGGCUUUGCCCUGCAGAGCUUGUGGUCAGAGGUCCCCAUCCAGUGGUGCCAUAGAAGUUAUGGCCGGGGUUGGACUGGGUCUGAACAGGGAACACUCUUGCUUCCUGGAAUCAGCAGAUUGGAGCCUGCUAUCAUCACAGUUUAAAGAACCAUUGGGAAUGUUGCCUUUUCCCCUCUUGGUCAUUUUUUUUUCCCAGAGGAAAAAAAAACCCAGAUGGAUGAAUGAUUACAACAGAUGGAUGAACAGUUACAACAACAUGGUCACAAAUGGACUCUGGUCCAUUAGUGACCAUGGACCACAGUCUGAGUCCGUGACCUAUAACAACAAAAGGUGGAAACUUGUCCAGGUGUUACCAGUCACCCCUCCGAAAUGUCCUGGAAAGCAGUGGUAUCCAGUAAAUGGGAUAGAGGCUUGCACAGGGGACUGUGCUUAACAAUUAAGCUCUAAUGCAGUACUAGAAGAGGCCUGUUGCAGUGAACACGGUAUAACAAAUUCGUGACCAUGUAUGUAGUAAAGAUAUCUUUCGUCAUCAGCAGGGCAAGUGAAAGCACCUACCAUGUGAAUUGAAAAUGCAACUCCCUUAUCUGUAAGUAAAAAGCCGGUUCUUCUCUGUUAUAUGGCUACCUGCCAGCAAGAGCCACAAACAUAGCUUUAGCUGGUAUCCAGGGUAGCACAAUAAUGACAGGCAAAAUUGACAUUAGAAGAACAUGAAGGUUACAAAGUCAAGCACUGAAAAUUUGGGAAAUGCCAGAAUUAACGUUUCCCAUAAACUUAAUUCAGCUGCUUUGUGCGUAAGCAUCAUUAUAGUCUUCAAUUAUGUGAUUACAGUAUUUUUUUUCAACAAGUCUCAGUCAGGGUACUGAUGGCUGUUGCUCUCUUGGGUAGCAGCUAGUCAGUGUUUUACUGCCUCGUGGUCUUCUCAAUAGUACUUACCGCUACCGCAUCCAAGUGCUUUACAAAUGUUAACGCACAAUGACUUUUCUUUCAGAUGAGGGGCUAUUCUCGUGCUCAGUUUACAAAUGGGGAACUGAAACACUUAGAUUAAUAGCAAAAGGAGACACUAAUUUGAGUACCAAACGUGAUUAAGAGUACUGGCAACUUUAUAUGUUGAAAGCCCAUCUCCUGUUGACUUCAGUUGCAUCUGCGAGUGUUCAGCACUUCUGCCAGUCAUACCUCGGGGAUCUUAAGUGAGCAACCAGAAACUGAAGAAUGUGUGAAUGGUUGGUUAAUGCAACUUGCCCACCACCACAUAGAAGUGCUGUGGCAGAAGCAGGGAUAAUAUCCAACUCACCGGGGGACAGCCUAACUGCCUUAACCAUGAAACCAACCUUUCACUUCUUGCAACCCCCUGUUAUGUAAGUGAUGCCCAUUCCAACUCCUGCCAGUGAGUUAUUUUAAUGAUUUUAUAAUUCAGUGGCCAUCCUGACUUCUUCCUGCUUCGAUUGUUGGAUGAAAAAUUCAAACAACCUGUCCAGUCUGAACAAAUGAAUUCUUUCUCCCCACAGGUAAAUGCCACAGGAGUCGAUGAGGGGUGUUGAAGGCCAAAGUCUUUAGGUCAGCAAGAAGGAAUAGCUUCUACCUGUGCAUCUAUGUGAAAUUCCAGAGGGAGUAGGGUUACACAGAAGAAUCCACUAUAAAACACUGCUAGGUUUCAGGAGUCUGUGGAAUAAUAAUGCAAUAGCAGCCAAAAACAUAACAAGGAUGGAACAAAGUUUGCUCCACCAUCUCACAAUAACUGCUUAUUACCAGCCUUUGUCUGUGGUAGGGCCCGCAACACGUGAGGCUCUUUUCCAUGUGCAUGAGAGGAAAAGCUGUUUUGCAAUAACAACAUGCAAGAUGCAACAUGACAUGCAGUGAGCUUUCAUUCGAGAUAGGAAGAAUUGGAAAUCAGCCAUCUUGAAUCAAAUCCCACAGGGAUGCGAUUCCUUUGACCCCGUCCUCUCAAAGCAUCAUAAACAAUCAGUUUGUCAGCGUACAAAACUGCUUUCCCCUUCUCCCCAAGUGUGAUUUUUAAUAAAGCUUUGGUUAUCUGUAUUAGAGCUGUCAAGCAUCU
Alligator sinensis (Chinese alligator) is the source of this 10533-nucleotide long non-coding RNA. RefSeq lists it as uncharacterized. Lineage: Eukaryota; Metazoa; Chordata; Crocodylia; Alligatoridae. The transcript has 3 exons. The record is from RefSeq and is a predicted model, not a curated record.